Armigeres subalbatus is the source of this 334-nucleotide long non-coding RNA. RefSeq lists it as uncharacterized. NCBI's taxonomy places the organism in Eukaryota, Metazoa, Arthropoda, Insecta, Diptera, Culicidae. The transcript is spliced from 3 exons. The record is from RefSeq and is a predicted model, not a curated record.
UCUGUCAUUUGUAGAAGAUAAGGGAAUAAAAGAUAACGAGAUAAAAACAAACGAUGAUAACGUGAUUGGACAAAAUUGUUAGACAUCUAUCGCGUAGAUUAUCAAACUAAGUUUUUUUGAGACAUUUGCCUGGGAAUUAAUUUAAAGUGAAUUAUUAUUGGAAUCUGAAGAGAAGUAGACAGUCGUUAGUACCGUGUCGAGUUAGAGAUCGUGUUUAUUGGUUAGAAAUCCAGUGGGAAUAAAGAUUCGAACCAUUCACAAUUAUACUUUAUAGAACAGAACCAAUCAUUAAGUGAGAAAACAUCGGAGUAUAAGAACUGAGCGCAUACAAAUC